CAGCCGCCACGGGAAUACGUAGGGUGCAAGCGUUAAUCGGAAUUACUGGGCGUAAAGCGUGCGCAGGCGGUCCGCUAAGACAGAUGUGAAAUCCCCGGGCUUAACCUGAGAAUUGCUUUUAAGACUGUCGAGCUAGAAUCCAGAAGAGGGUAGUGGAAUUCCGAGUGUAGAGGUGAAAUUCGUAGAUAUUCGGAAGAACACCAGUGGCGAAGGCGACUACCUGGUCUGGCAUUGACGCUCAUGUGCGAAAGCGUGGGGAGCAAACAGGAUUAGAUACCCCGGUAGUCCCUGUCUCUUAUAC
Molecule: ribosomal RNA, 301 nt
Filed under: uncultured bacterium
Lineage: Bacteria
Description: partial 16S ribosomal RNA
Rfam family: Bacterial small subunit ribosomal RNA
Source: RNAcentral